GCAGCAGCCGCGGUAAUACGAAGGGGGCUAGCGUUGCUCGGAAUGACUGGGCGUAAAGGGCGCGUAGGCGGUUUGUACAGUCAGAUGUGAAAUUCCUGGGCUCAACCUGGGGACUGCAUUUGAUACGUGCAGGCUUGAGUGUGGAAGAGGGUUGUGGAAUUCCCAGUGUAGAGGUGAAAUUCGUAGAUAUUGGGAAGAACACCGGUGGCGAAGGCGGCAACCUGGUCCAUUACUGACGCUGAGGCGCGAAAGCGUGGGGAGCAAACAGGAUUAGAUACCCCCGUAGUCCCUGUCUCUUAUAC
RNAcentral lists this ribosomal RNA (302 nucleotides) under uncultured bacterium. RNAcentral describes it as "partial 16S ribosomal RNA". It matches the Rfam family "Bacterial small subunit ribosomal RNA", at positions 508 to 807 of the family's 1533-position model. The record is from RNAcentral.